This 2785-nucleotide long non-coding RNA is filed under the name Sinocyclocheilus grahami. Its description in RNAcentral is "lncRNA (ENSSGRG00000042193.1)". The record is from RNAcentral. Lineage: Eukaryota; Metazoa; Chordata; Actinopteri; Cypriniformes; Cyprinidae.
ACCGUGAGAGUUAUCUAUUCAAGAAAACUUACCACUGACUUAUUUUCUAAUGAUUUGCAGUUCUGACAAAGACAGAGCUAAAGAGAGGAGAGCCACUGACUCAACAUCAGCAAGAGGAUUUGAAAGAGGAUUCAAGAAAGCAAAAUUUAGAGACAGCAAGAGCAGGGAAGAAAGAUCCCGAGAAAGCCAAACAACAGAGAAUUCCAGGCCAGUUUUCAAGUCACCUGUCACACAUGAGAAGGAGCAAGUGAAUCAUAAAGUCAAGCAUGAAAAAGCAAGUCCCCAUAUCUCAGGGAGAAGCUCGAGCAGGCAUGCUGCAACAAAUCAGCCUUCUUCAAAAGAGUUGGAGAAAAAGAGACAGGAGCUGGUAUCGAGGAGAUCCACAGCAGAGUAUCCCAGGCGGACACCUGCAAAGGAUGAUUGUUCCCCUGAGAAACCACAAGAGAAAAGGAGGAAACUCAUGAAAAGGCCGUUGUCAACAGAGCUUCAUGCUGAACCCAAACGAAGAGACAUCAAAAACAUGACCAAUGCUGUACAUGCAGAAUCUCAUUCUGAAGUUCAAAAGGAAACGAGGAAGACGUUGGUGGCCAGGAGGUCCAAGAAGAUUGACCAUAAUGUUGGUGCACAGAGUUCUCAAGGCAACUCCAAAGAAGCUUUGCCAGUAGUGAAACAUGUAGGCUCUAAACUGAAAUUACCAGAAGAUAUUUCACCCAAGAAGCUAGAUCAUGUGCAGUUGGGCAAUGUCCCCGGUGUAAUCUUAGGAGAAAAAAGGCCAUCCCUGGUUGGUCCCACAGCAAAUGUCAGUUUCAAGAUCCCAAAGAAGGUCACUGCUGUUAAAGCUUGGACAAACACGGAUGUGUGUAAUGUGAAUUCUUCAUAUAGCAGGACUCAAAGUACCACUCAGCCUUCUUUCCCUGAUUCUACUCCAUCUAAACACAAAUUUCUCAUCUCACAGCAAGGUCAGAGGCUUCAAGAGGUUUCUUCUCGAACCUCUCAUAAACCCUCUUCUCUUAGCUUGUCACAUCUUUUGUCUACAUCUCACUGCAAACCAGUCCAGACAGUCCAGCAGACACACACUGACAAAACAAGAGAGGCCACAACGCCGAGCAAUACUUCCUGCAAGGUACAACAUGUAACUCUCCAGGAGGCUGCAGAGACCCUUGACUGCGACCACGAGAUGGAGCUGGUGGAGGAGCUUCAUCUGGCACGCUCUGAGAGGCGACUGGAGGUGAACUUGAUAAAGAACUGCGGAGAGCUCACCUGCAUGGACAUUGACGCUCCAGAAGAGGGUGCCGGCACAAUGCUUAGUAAAGUCACCUAUGAAUUAUUUUUGUGAUUGGUGAACAGCUUAGACGGUGUUUCAGUACUGCCCCACCCCUUUUUCCAUCAUUCAACAAAAGCUUUUGGCGAAUCCGGCACUACUCACUCGUGUUGUGGAAGCUGUCCUCAGUAAAAUGCGCAGCACACAAUAGCAAAUUGGGUUAUAAUGUCCACUUCGCAGGGCACUUACAGUCAAAUAUAACAAACGUAUGAAGCAAUAAGAGAAACAUACAAAAUGUGCAGAGCGGGGGUACGCGAGGACUGGAAAUGAGAACCGCUGUUCUAGACAUGCCAAAAAUUUGAGGCUACAGCACAGCAGCUCUUCUUCUUGGUUUUCUCUGAUGCACUAACUCUGCAGCAGCACUUCUUCUUCAUCGUCUCGUCUAAUGCGCUGACUCAACCUAGCGUUCUAACCACGACCUCGCCCUCCCCACCCCCCAACCAUUCGAAUUUCUGUAGGCGGGAAUUAUUUGUAAUGAUAUUCCAAUGAGCCGCUUUGUGAUAUCACAAAGCCCGGAAAACAAACGCUGUAGUCCAAACGAGCCAUUUGCUGUAUUUCUUGAAAAUGGAUUUUUAAAAAACUAAAUAUCUCCCUUUGGAGUGGACUUUGAGAUUUGUGAAAAAGCAUAAUAGGACCCCUUUAAAUAACUUAUUACUGGAAUAGCUAAAGGCCCGUUCACUCUCCAAGAAUGAUAACUAUAAAAAUAAAUAUGUCAGUGUUUGAACGGAUGUCAAUGUUUUUAUCGUUCAUCGGCUGGAAAAAAAUAAUUGCGAAAGUGAUUCCAACAAUAUCCUUGGUGCCGUUAUCAUCGUAGUUGUUGUGUGGACUGUGCUAGUUAUUUACAUUUAGAGCGAUUUAAAAUUAUAUCUUUAUUGUUAUCGUUAUCAUCCUUGGUGUACGGGCCUCAAGUUAGUAAUGUCCAGCAGUAUGCACCUUGUUGUAAAGAUUCUUUUAUUUGAAUCAUGGUGCAUAGUUAUGCUUUAUUGUGUCUUUGUGCGUUUAACUCAUACAUGUGAAGAUCAACAUAAACAGGCCCUGCUUAUUGUUCUGGAUACCAAUGUGCUGCUCAGCCACCUGGAGUUUGUGAAGAAGAUUAGGUCACAUGGUCUCGGUGGUAAGAAAAAAAGAGAGAUUUUAAGUCACUAGCUUUUAACUUUAAAACAUUGGAAGAAUUAUGUGGAUGCAACAUUUCACUCGGAACAUCCUCAUCACAGGGCUGGGGUUCCCCACUUUGCUGAUCCCAUGGGUGGUGCUGCAGGAGUUGGACUAUCUAAAGAGUGGUAAACUCUCCAGCAAAGUGGAAUACAAAGCCAGGCCAGCUGUCCACUACAUUUACAGCUGCCUAAAAAAUCAGGAGCCCAGACUUGUGGGCCAGUCAAUGCAGCAGGCAUCUCAAGCUGUUGGUGAGUGAUUCUUAUCCUGAGAUGCAUUAUUAUUUGUAUUCGUGAUGUGCCUGUACUGUGU